ACUCAGCAGAUGGUGAAUCCCCCUGUGCGGAGGGGCACUACUGGCGGCCUUGAGUUUGUAGACGCAUGCGGAACGUUGUUGCCAGUCGGCGUUUCACCGGGAGGCACCCGGCACCAUCCAGAGAUGCUGUACCUGAUAGCCUGUUCGUCCGAGCAGGCUUUUUU
RNAcentral lists this small RNA (164 nucleotides) under Phytobacter massiliensis. Its description in RNAcentral is "Gammaproteobacterial sRNA STnc100". It matches the Rfam family "Gammaproteobacterial sRNA STnc100", at positions 23 to 206 of the family's 206-position model. The record is from RNAcentral. Lineage: Bacteria; Pseudomonadati; Pseudomonadota; Gammaproteobacteria; Enterobacterales; Enterobacteriaceae.